GGAGAGGUGCGAGAGUGGCUUAAUCGGCACGAUUGGAAAUCGUGUGUGCCGGAAGGUACCGAGGGUUCGAAUCCCUCCCUCUCCGCCA
Molecule: transfer RNA, 88 nt
Filed under: bacterium
Lineage: Bacteria
Description: tRNA-Ser
Rfam family: tRNA
About the family: Transfer RNA (tRNA) molecules are approximately 80 nucleotides in length. Their secondary structure includes four short double-helical elements and three loops (D, anti-codon, and T loops). Further hydrogen bonds mediate the characteristic L-shaped molecular structure. tRNAs have two regions of fundamental functional importance: the anti-codon, which is responsible for specific mRNA codon recognition, and the 3' end, to which the tRNAs corresponding amino acid is attached (by aminoacyl-tRNA synthetases). tRNAs cope with the degeneracy of the genetic code in two manners: having more than one tRNA (with a specific anti-codon) for a particular amino acid; and 'wobble' base-pairing, i.e. permitting non-standard base-pairing at the 3rd anti-codon position.
Source: RNAcentral